RNAcentral lists this transfer RNA (70 nucleotides) under Rhineura floridana. Its description in RNAcentral is "tRNA-Gly". Lineage: Eukaryota; Metazoa; Chordata; Lepidosauria; Squamata; Rhineuridae. The record is from RNAcentral.
GCUCUUCUAGUAUAAACCAAUACAGGCGACUUCCACUCACCAAAUCUUAAUCACUAAUUAAGGAAGAGCA